Molecule: long non-coding RNA, 244 nt
Filed under: Malus domestica (apple)
Lineage: Eukaryota; Viridiplantae; Streptophyta; Magnoliopsida; Rosales; Rosaceae
Description: long non-coding RNA (MDOM_LNC006974)
Source: RNAcentral
AUUUCAUACAACUUUUAGCUCCACUACAUGCACUCAUUGAUGCACCAUCCACCACAUUUGGAAUCCCAUGUCAUGCAUUAUGACAUUUGCUGCACAUUUGACUCAUUUCUGCACCAUUCUACCUCCAUUUCCUUUCUAUACCAUGUGCACAAUCAUUCAUGUUCCCUAGCUGCAACACCACUCCAUUUUACCCCCCAUACUUUGCAUCAUCACUUCACUUUCACAUUUGAAUCAUUUCAACACC